UAAACCAGGCUGGUGAUUUCAAAUGAGUUAGUCCUUGUCAAGCAGUUAACUAGCGGCCAGCCCUCAGUAAGUAUUUUCAUUUCCAACGUGUGAGCUAUUUUCUGUAAAGAUCUGUUGAUGAAGUCCAAGGGGGAAAUGACUUUGUCCUGUGGAGUGGCUGGAGAGGAGUGGGGAGGAGGGAGAGGAAAGGAUAAGACAGUGGAGGGGUCAUAGCUUGGAUCUAGGAUGUCCCCUAAAGGCCCAUGUGUGGAAGGCUUGGGGCCCAGCUCGGCCCUGUUGGGAGGGGGUGACCUUUAGGAGGAGGGCCCUAGCGGGAGGAAGUGAGGUCACAGGGGCGUGGCUUGGAGCGGAUAUGAAGACUGUGGGAACCUCCGGCCUCUCUUUCUCGGUUUCCUGGCUGCCCCUAGGCUGUGGGCCGCCUCCUCUGGCGCAUAUUCCCACGGAAGCAGACUGUGCCACCCCGAGGGCCCUGAGCCAGUGCAAGCCUCUCCUGCUUUCAGUUACGAGCCCAGGUGUCAGGAGAAUGCUAAACUAUAAGGAAGAAUGAGAAAAAGACAUGGAAACUGAGUCAGAUAUUGAAGCAAAUUAAAAGAAGUCACUCCACAGAGCUCUACUGUAAAAUAGAUCGGAGAUAAAGACUCAACCUGGUUUUCCAAGAUGAUGACAGUGGAUUAGAGACACACAUAAUCAGGAGGAGGCCACCCCAGCUGACUAACUUGCAGAUUUGAAGAUAUAAUGGCACCGCCUCCAGUCUCUGAUGACUUAAAUGAAUCUCACCUUCUGAUGACUGAAGGAAAAUGUGUUCCUGAGUGCGAAGAAUGGUCCAAUUUUCAUUACCUCCCAGAGGCAGAGCCUGCGAAGACGCUGAGCUGGGCUGCACAAUUCACCGACAGAGCAGAGCUUUCAGGGGCUCCACGGCACCCGUCCUCACCUAGGAAAAGCCCUGCACUCAGCCCAUGCUCGGAGUCACGCUCCGCCGUGUCCCGGUCCGGUAACGCAGGGCAGCCUGGAUCUCUUGCUUUCUUAUGACCCCAUCCCCAAAUACACCCUCUCAGCUCUAUUGGAACAAACCCAAAGUGCGGUAUCAUCAGUUCUAAACCGAAGGCCUGUUUCCUGACUUUCUAUGGAGAACUGUGUGACUUUGUAAUUAGGAAAAAGGCACAAUUUUUGCUUUUAACUGACAAGUGGUAAUUGUGUAUAUUUGUGAGGUACAGUGUGAUGGCUGCACGUACACACGCAUUACAGAAGGAUCCAGUCAAGACAGUUAUCAUAGCCAGACCUUGCAUUCACACCUUCCUGUGGUCUGUGGUGAAGAAUCUAUUUUGGCAGUGUGGGAAUGGACGAGGCACUGUUAGCUGUGGUCACCACAAAGAGCAGAGCGCUGGACUCACUGCCCAGCCUGCCUCGGACCCUGCCCGAGUGACCACACCUGCUGUCCCCACCUCUCCCUCCUGGGGCCUGUGUGCAGCACCUUUCUGUUCUCCCUUUCCAUGAGGCCCACAUAUAAGAGAGACUAUGUACUACAGUGGAGCCUCGAGUUAUGACUGACCCGACAUACGAACAACCUGGGUCAUGACUGGAAUCUUAGUUUUAACUUAUGACCAGAGUCAUGAGUUAUGACCCAGAUGGUCUCAGAUACAGAUUUAACCCCUAAAGAGUCCUGGAAGGAACAUGACAACAUCCUUACCUGUGUGGGGUUGAGAAAUCCUGGCCCAGUGUCUCUCUAAGGACACUGGGAUCUGCCAGGAGACAGACUCUGAAGGCUGUGUAGAGGAGCCUGAGGCUUCACCGAUGAACUUGAGUCACAACCAGUCCUCGGGAACAAAUUGAGUUUGUAAGUCAAGGGUCCACAGUAUUUGUCUUUCUGCUCCUGGCUGACUUCACUUAGUGUAACGCCCAACAGUUCAGUCCAUGCGGUUGCUGAUGAGAGCACUGCCUUCUUUUUCAGGGCUGUAUGAUACUCCUCCGUGUGUGUGUGUGUGUGUGUGUGUACGUAUCCUCUUUACCUGCUCCUCCAUUCAUGGGCGCCUAGGUUGCUUCUGUGUCUUCAGUAUUGUGAACUACGAUGAAGAAAGUAGGGAAAUCUUAACAUGAACAUUAAAAAGUCUUCCCGGGCCGGGGAUUUAGCUCAGUGGUUCUGGCACCUGCCUUGCAAGGACAAGGUCCC
Molecule: long non-coding RNA, 2167 nt
Organism: Heterocephalus glaber (naked mole-rat)
Lineage: Eukaryota; Metazoa; Chordata; Mammalia; Rodentia; Bathyergidae
Source: RefSeq, a predicted model, not a curated record